This 497-nucleotide ribosomal RNA is filed under the name uncultured bacterium. RNAcentral's name for it is "partial 16S ribosomal RNA". It matches the Rfam family "Bacterial small subunit ribosomal RNA", at positions 28 to 507 of the family's 1533-position model. The record is from RNAcentral.
GACGAACGCUGGCGGCGUGCCUAAUACAUGCAAGUUGAGCGAUGAAGCUUGGUGCUUGCACCAAUUUGAAGAGCAGCGAACGGGUGAGUAACGCGUGGGGAAUCUGCCUUUGAGCGGGGGACAACAUUUGGAAACGAAUGCUAAUACCGCAUAACAACUUUAAACAUAAGAUUUAAGUUUGAAAGAUGCAAUUGCAUCACUCAAAGAUGAUCCCGCGUUGUAUUAGCUAGUUGGUGAGGUAAAGGCUCACCAAGGCGAUGAUACAUAGCCGACCUGAGAGGGUGAACGGCCACAUUGGGACUGAGACACGGCCCAAACUCCUAAGGGAGGCAGCAGUAGGGAAUCUUCGGCAAUGGACGAAAGUCUGACCGAGCAAAGCCGCGUGAGUGAAGAAGGUUUUCGGAUCGUAAAACUCUGUUGGUAGAGAAGAACGUUGGUGAGAGUGGAAAGCUCAUCAAGUGACGGUAACUACACAGAAAGGGACGGCUAACUACGUG